CUGUCUUGAAACACUGACUCUCCACUGAGGAAACGGAGAAGGCGUGGAAGGGAAGGCGUGGAAGGGGGAAGCCAUUCUCCCCAGUGACUCUGCUGCCCAAGAUAAUGGGAAUGAAAAACAUCACCUUCCACCUGGAAAGAGACCAUGAUGACACACCAAAUGAUGACCGCCAGUCUGAAACUACUAUGAUGUCAGAGACCACUGUGGUGACAAACCAUGUGACGAACACUAUGAUGUCAGAC
Oncorhynchus masou masou (cherry salmon) is the source of this 242-nucleotide long non-coding RNA. RefSeq lists it as uncharacterized. The record is from RefSeq and is a predicted model, not a curated record. The transcript has 3 exons. NCBI's taxonomy places the organism in Eukaryota, Metazoa, Chordata, Actinopteri, Salmoniformes, Salmonidae.